Molecule: ribosomal RNA, 462 nt
Filed under: uncultured bacterium
Lineage: Bacteria
Description: partial 16S ribosomal RNA
Rfam family: Bacterial small subunit ribosomal RNA
Source: RNAcentral
GACGAACGCUGGCGGCGUGCUUAACACAUGCAAGUCGAGCGGUAAGGCCUUUCGGGGUACACGAGCGGCGAACGGGUGAGUAACACGUGGGUGAUCUGCCCUGCACUUCGGGAUAAGCCUGGGAAACUGGGUCUAAUACCGGAUAUGACCUCCUAUCGCAUGGUGGGUGGUGGAAAGAUUUAUCGGUGCAAGAUGGGCCCGCGGCCUAUCAGCUUGUUGGUGGGGUAAUGGCCUACCAAGGCGACGACGGGUAGCCGACCUGAGAGGGUGACCGGCCACACUGGGACUGAGACACGGCCCAGACUCCUACGGGAGGCAGCAGUGGGGAAUAUUGCACAAUGGGCGAAAGCCUGAUGCAGCGACGCCGCGUGAGGGAUGACGGCCUUCGGGUUGUAAACCUCUUUCAGCAGGGACGAAGCGCAAGUGACGGUACCUGCAGAAGAAGCACCGGCUAACUACGUG